RNAcentral lists this non-coding RNA (27 nucleotides) under Mus musculus (house mouse). Lineage: Eukaryota; Metazoa; Chordata; Mammalia; Rodentia; Muridae. The record is from RNAcentral.
UGAUGAUGUUGUGGACUCCCCCACCCC